RNAcentral lists this ribosomal RNA (493 nucleotides) under uncultured fungus. Its description in RNAcentral is "partial 18S ribosomal RNA". The stretch from base 25 to 325 matches the Rfam family "Eukaryotic small subunit ribosomal RNA", at positions 95 to 388 of the family's 1831-position model. Lineage: Eukaryota; Fungi. The record is from RNAcentral.
UAGUAANUUUUAUACCGUGGCNGGGGCUCAUUANANCAUUUAUAAUUUACUUGAUUAUAUUAAAUUUUGCUUGGAUAAGCGUAUUAUUUCGAGAGCUAACGCGUGAAAAAACACCUUCGUUUUGGGAGUAUUCGUAUUUAUUAAAUACAAAGCCCUUCGGGGCUCUUGANGAUUCAUAAUAACUUAACAAAGCGAGAGAUUCAUCUUUUGCUGAUACGAACAAGUUUCUGCCCUAUCAACUUUCGAUGGUAGUAUAGGGGACUACCAUGGUUACAACGGGUANCGGGGAAUAAAANGGGGAAUAAAGGGGGCCNGGGAAACGGGGUUAUAAUAGCNGCUGCGCCGCUUNCGGUAANUCNUUUUACGCGUGUUUUUCAACUCGUAAUAGUAACNUUAGCCUUAACGAACCGAUACAAGCACCUUCCAAANGUCNUCCUCCCUACNUCNGGUUUNCUCAUUUCGCUGCACUCUNUUUCCCUGNCCCCGCCNAAAA